This 342-nucleotide ribosomal RNA is filed under the name Heterocapsaceae environmental sample. RNAcentral describes it as "bacterial SSU rRNA". It matches the Rfam family "Eukaryotic small subunit ribosomal RNA", at positions 594 to 945 of the family's 1831-position model. The record is from RNAcentral. Lineage: Eukaryota; Dinophyceae; Peridiniales; Heterocapsaceae.
AUAGCGUAUAUUAAAAUUGCUGCAGUUAAAGCGUCCGUAGUUGAAUUUCGUUCAAAUUGAAUGGUGCCGAAUUUUCCUCGUGUUAAUUCGAGUACUUUUCGAUUAGAACUUGGGUGAGAUGUAUUCGUUUCGGCGAGUUCGUUUCGCUCCGUUACUUUGAGCAAAUUGGAGUGCUCCAACCAGGCUUAAGCUUGAACAGCUCAGCAUGGAAUAACAAGAUAAGACUUUAGUUCUUCUUGUUGGUGACAUGAACUAAUAGUAAUGGUUGAUAAGGACAUACGGGGGCAUUUGUACUUGCUGGAGAGAGGUGAAAUUCUAAGACCCAGCAAAGACAAACAAGUG